AUUGGGACCAAUGGUAGAAUGUCACUUUGCGUUGUGUCAAUUGGGCGUAACACUUAGCUAGCAAAGCACAAUAAUUCCAAUAACAAUUCCAUGAGUGAAGCUUUCUACUCAGUUAUCUCCGCCAUCAGCCGUCCGCCUCUCUUAGUUCCUCCGUUCGUAAAAUGCAGAUCAGGGGUUGCCGGUGUGGAGCUGGAUUGAGAUAAUCGAUGAAUCGGAAAUUUACACCUUGAACCAAAUUGCUUGGCUUAUUAGGUUUGAGUAUAUAUUCUCUCUCCUUUUGCUUUUUGUUUGUCAAUCUGGCAAAGUAGCCUGAAUAAGUUUACAUUUAUCAAGUUUUUGAACAAACUGACAAAAUUUUAUAUUGGAAAGAGGGCAGAUAGUUGUCUUGUGGGGAUAUAGUUUUUUUUCCAACGAAUUGAUAAUUGUCUUGUGGAAAUAUAGUUUGUACCAAGCCUUUAAAUUGCCUAGCUGAUGCUAAUAGCAGAAUCAUGGAAAUGGAAAUUUUUUUCCCUUGACCAGAGUUAGAAUACUGAACAAUCAGGAUAACAUAUAUGCAACUAAAUAGUUUUUCUUUCUUUUUCUUUUUAUUUUAUUUAAUUUUUUUUUGCCUGAUCCUAUAAGAAGAAGAUUGCAUGGGGGAAUAACUUGAAUACUUAGAAUUCCGAAGUAUGGCCAUGGAAUGACAACCAUUUCUAUUUACAAGCCCAACCUUUGGAACAUAAUACAGGUGGUGAAGAGCCGACAUUGAGGCGCCAACCUUCCCAUCAAUGUGAGAUUUGGGAAAGAUUAUCUUGUUAUCUUUAGACUAACUUUUAUCCGUUGAGCGACGCCCUUUUUCCUUGGCACGGUCGGAUCACUGAGGCUGUCUUUCAUCCCUGCUUGACAAUGGAUCUUGAAGUCAAGCUUCCUUUUACCUUUGCACUCGAGGGCCAUUGGUCCGUUAUCCUGAUCAUGAUUUUCUUACUCCUAAAGGAAAAGAUACUUUCCUUUUGGGCCGGUUGUGCGUGAAGAGGGAUUCAAACCCUCGACACCGUACAUGCUCUUUAACAAUAAUAGUCAAAUCGGAGGAAAGCAACAACACUGUGUUUACCUCAUUUUCGCCCCUACAGAGAAUCCAAACAUUGACGCAAGUCCUCAGCAAAAUCGAGGAACGACUGUCUAGCUGAUGGGUGAGUAACGCGUAAGACCUUGCCAUUGGGAGGGAAAUAACAGCUCGAAACAACUGCUAGUACCUUGAAAAUAACUCUCCUUUUUACCCUACAGCUAGCUACACAAUUCCUUAUAUUAAAGGUGCAUUUGACUUGUAAUUUCAUUUGCAGAAGAUUCUAUACAAUCAAAUCUUUUAACACCACAUGGUUCAUGUUAUUCGAUUUUUUGAAUCAUUAGUUUUUAAAGACUUGAGAAAGUGGAGAUUCCGAAUCUUCUAAUACCACUCGGUUCUUGUUACUCUUAUUGUUUAAUUAUCACAUCCUUGCACCUUGUACCCUGCACUGCGUACUAGUGCUUUCAUUUCCUUCGGUUAUGAACAAUGAGUUCAUUUUCAAAACUUCCUUUAAUAUGAUUGGGUUCUCAUAAGAAUUUUACAUUUAUAAGGUUUUUGAACAAAUUAUGAUAAAAAAAAGAGAGGAAAAUUGUUUGUGGAAACAUAGUUUUUUACAAAACCUUCAAAUUGCCUAGGUGGUGGCAAUCACAAAACGUGGAAAUUGAUUUUUUUCCUAUGUUGCCCAUUGUUAGAAUACUGAACAAUCAUGAUCAUAUAUAUACGAGUAAAUAGUUUUUUUUUUGCCUAGAACUUUUUUAUCAAGAAGAUUGCAUGGAGGAAAAACUUGAAUACUUAGCCCUUGCUUGAUCCCUAUUUUGGGGGAAAUAAUGCAUUUUGAAUAGCAGAUUGAUGGAGAAUGUGUGGUUAAAAAUUUUAAAAAAUUUUUGCAUUUUCAUGUAAUAUUAUUUUAUUGAAGAAUGUGUGAUUGAAAAUGAAUUUUGAAAAAAUGAUUUUUUUGAAUAAUAGGAAUAAAGCAAGGGCUUAGAUCUCUUGAGUAUGGUCAUUGCAAGACAAAUGUGGAGAAUAUUGAAAAUUUGAAAAAACUACUCACCUCUUGGCUUUGCCUAACAAUUAGCUCCAAAAUUCUUUUGUAUUAAUGAAAUUCUGAUUUCAUUUGAAAAAGAUUUUAUUGAGAUUCUAUACAAUAAAAUCUUUUAAUAUCACUCAAUUCACAUUACUAAAUCAUUUUAAAAGAAUCAAGGAUGUGGAGAUAAAGAUAACAUUGAAUGUUUGGUACAUAAUGAUCAUGAAAAAUUGGACAUUAUAAUUAGCAAUUUGUAUGACAUGAUUUUCCUCUUUAAUUGUAAUGUCCCAAAUUAAAAAUUUUAAAUUGCUACAAAAAGUUUCAUAAAAAUUUAACAUGACAAAUAAUUUCUUAUAGAUUUAUGUAAAGAUGGUUUACUCAAGGUUAAUCUAUAAUAUUCUUUUUAUACCAAAUAUUAAUUUUUUAUUUAUAUUAAAUUAGAUACCUUACCUUGUCUAUAAAUGUUUGAAAAGAUCAUAUGAAAAUCAAUCUAAAAGUUAAUGAUUAGGGACGUAAUUACACGGCGCUUUAAAAAUCAUAAAUUUAAUACUGACAAGCAAAAAUAUUAAUGAAUAUGGGUUGCUAACUUUGUCGUCAUCUAAUUAAAUAUAACAAUCCAGUUCAAGGCAUCCUUAAAUAUAUCAAACAGUGCUGCAUGAAAUUAAAGUGCAAAAUUAGUCAUUUGACCCAAGAAACAUAAUCAAUAUUUUAUUUCACAAAUUGGAGCAUUUCCUUCUGAUGGAUUAUAGCUAUUUUUAAACUAUCACGUGAAAUAUCCACACAACAAUUUAUUGAUUUUCUAUCAUAUUAUAUACACACACAUAUUUUCCAAGCAAUUUCGCAAAGUUACUCCCUAUAUUAUUACUAGGGACAUCGUCAAACAAACAAAUGGUUAUGUCUGAAAAUAAUUCAUGUGUAAUAUAUAUGUCUCACUAAAUGCGAAUGUAGUGAACAAUUUUCUUAAAUAUAUUCCACUAAAAGCUAAUUCAUUUAAUUUACACGUUUUAUUUUACAUGAUAGAUAAUAAAUAUAUCAUAAAAUAUUGAUUUCACAUAUUUACCGUGACAAACAAUGUAGUUCCAUGUUUCGAAUUCAAAUAAAGGGAAAGAGAUAAAUAAAUUAAUAAAACUAAAGUUAUUGUUGGAAUUUAAAAUUUCAGCCACAUUACAUCGAAAUUACUUUAUUAAGUCCAAUGAACCCUGGCACAACGAUAGCACUUCAUUGCUUGCCAACCAACAAUCCAUUCUAAUCUGUGAAAAGUAGGGGAAAAAGGGGUGAAUAUAAGGAACUACUCAGUGUGACACGAGUAUAUGUGCAAUUCCAAAUAAAAGUACCAAUUCAUGAAUUUAAAUAAUUAUUUUGUCAUAUCAUAACUUUAGAAUUUGAGAAGAGCUCCUAACAUAUCAUAUCAUUUGUACUGAAUGCCCAUUAUCAUGUAUCAUAACAUAUCCAAUCAUAUCAAUUCGUUAGCAUAAUAUUUAUCAACAUGAAAUAAUAAAAUUAAAUGGGACAAUCUACUUGCACCCUAUUCAUCCUACCUUAAACCUUUGAAAAUUUUGAUUUGAUGCUCACAAAAUUGUAAAUUUUUGUGCCUCUUGAAAUAUUCCAAAACUUUUAAAAUAAUUUUCUUUCCUUCUAAAAAAUAUGGAGAAUUAUGAAGCAUAAAAGAAAGAAGGGAAAA
This is a long non-coding RNA of Olea europaea var. sylvestris, 3747 nucleotides long. RefSeq lists it as uncharacterized. The transcript has 2 exons. The record is from RefSeq and is a predicted model, not a curated record. Lineage: Eukaryota; Viridiplantae; Streptophyta; Magnoliopsida; Lamiales; Oleaceae.